CCCCCCCCGGCUCGGCGAAGGUUCCGGAGCUCUCGCGCGCCCCCUCCCCUCCCGACCCGCCCCCCGCCGCUGUCACUUCGCUGAGCGGCUCCGGUGCGGACAGCAGGGCAGCAGGUAACUUGGCUGCAAGAUGGCAGAACCACACCAGGAUGUCACCAACGUGGAGGACCAGGAGAGGCAGCACGUCCCUUCAGGCUAUCCCCUUCAGAUUCCAGUCGAUGAUGGAUCGGAUGAGCCUGUUUCUGAAACAUCUGAUGCUAAGAGCACCCCAACUACAGAAGAUGCCACAGCACCUUUAGUAGAGGAAGGAGACCAAGAGGAUCAGCACGGGGAGAUCCCAGAAGGAACCACAGCUGAAGAGGCGGGCGUAGGAGCCACCCCCAGCCUGGAGGACCACGCUGCAGGAGAUGCUCAAGCUCCAGGGGAGCCCAGCUCUCCAAAGUUGCAGCCUGGCCAUAAGGAGCAUAUGGGAGAUGUGGUUCAAAGGGGCAGCCAGCCCAUGGAGCAGGUAGCUGGUGUUCCUCGGGAGCCACAAGAAACAAAGGCUGCAGCCACAGCUCCCACCAGGAUUGAGGUCACUAUCCCAAUCCCCCUGGAUAUGUACCAAGAUGUCAGAGCAGCUGAAGCCAGCCGUGAGCUGUGGGAUCGUGGGGGCAGAGAAGGCAUCGGCGUGGAUCCAGAGCUGGGUGAUGUGUGCAGCACGGGGCUGGCAGGAGCAGGUGGAACUGAUGCCUCCCAUACUGCAGAUGGGCCAACUCCUACUGGAACCCCACUAAAAGAGGACACCGGAGAUGUGGACCGUGAUAUGGAUGAAGCUUCUCAGCAGGAUUUGCUUGGCCUGGUGGGACAGCACGUUUCUCCAGGCCCCAAAACAACCAAAGAAGCUCUUAAAGAGGAAGGAGAAAGCAAGUCCAGGGAUGUCCUCAGAGACACAGAGAGGGAGGUAUUCCUUGUUGAAUCUGAAGCACGUAAAGCAGAAGACCAAGAAAAGAGACAGCAUCUGCAGGGGGAAGAACCAUACACAGAUGUCACCUCAUCAGAACCUUCUGAGACCCAAACAGAAGGGGCAGGAGGGGAUGCUGGACCAUUAGUGGAAGCAACUGAACCCCCUGAUGGGUUAAAGGAUGGGAGAGAAGACAGAGAUGCUGCAGUGGAAGAGGUGCUGGGUGCAGGAGGGUGCCGGACGCCCAAGAAGAAACCAGGUGCUGCAGAUAAAGCAGUCAGUCGUGUUCCUCUCCUGAAAGCUCGUAUUGAUAGCAAGGAAGGGGCUGAAGCUGAUGACAAGAAACCGAAGAAAUCCUCACCUUCCAUUGCCAACCCCCCAGGCGAUAGAGCCUCCAUCCCUCCCCACCGACACACCUCCUCUAGCACAACCCCUCCGAAACCUCCCUCCAGCCCUGCAUCCACCUCUAAACGAGUCACACCCCGACCUGCCAGUACAGGAACACAUGAAACAAAGGCCAAGGGCCAGGAGAUGAGGGGAGGCACAAAGCCGGCCACGCCGCGCUCUGCAGCAGGGCAGGCCCAGAGGAACUCCAGCAACGCCACCCGCAUCCCAGCAAAAACCCCCACGGCCCCCAAGACCCCUCCUGGCUCUGGCAGAAAGGAGCAGAAAAAACCACCCCCUGCAGCAGCGAAGCCUGAGAAAGGUGAGCAGCCCAAGUCUGGAGACAGAAGCGGUUACAGCAGUCCCGGCUCACCCGGGACUCCAGGCAGCCGUUCCCGCACUCCUUCUCUGCCCACCCCACCAGCCAGGGAGCCCAAGAAGGUGGCAGUGGUUCGUACUCCUCCUAAAUCACCUGCGUCUGCCAAGAGCCGCGUUCAGCCCACAGCAGCUCCAAUGCCUGACCUGAAAAACGUCAAAUCCAAAAUCGGCUCCACUGAAAACCUGAAGCAUCAGCCUGGAGGUGGCAAGGUGCAGAUUAUUAAUAAGAAGCUGGACUUUAGCAGCGUUCAAUCCAAGUGUGGCUCAAAGGAUAAUAUCAAACACAUCCCGGGAGGAGGCAGUGUGCAGAUUGUUAAUCAGAAGUUGGACUUUAGCAGCGUUCAAUCCAGGUGUGGCUCAAAGGAUAAUAUCAAACACAUCCCAGGAGGAGGCAGUGUUCAAAUCGUUUACAAGCCGGUGGAUCUGAGCCACGUGACGUCCAAAUGUGGAUCUUUGGGCAACAUCCAUCACAAACCAGGUGGUGGCCAAGUGGAGGUGAAAUCUGAGAAACUGGACUUCAAAGAUAAGGUGCAAUCUAAAAUCGGCUCCUUAGAUAACAUCAGCCACGUUCCUGGAGGGGGAAAUAAAAAGAUCGAGACUCACAAGCUGACUUUCCGUGAGAACGCCAAAGCUAAAACCGACCACGGAGCCGAAAUCGUCUACAAAUCCCCCACCAUCUCCGGGGACGCGUCUCCGCGCCGCCUUAGCAAUGUCUCCUCCACUGGCAGCAUCAACAUGGUGGACUCCCCCCAGCUCGCCACGUUAGCUGACGAAGUGUCCGCCUCGCUGGCCAAGCAGGGCUUGUGAUGGGGCUUGUGAUGGGGCUCAGCACCACGGCGGGAGAGAAGGAGAAGAUGAUGUUGGGGGGGGGAGGGAGGGGGGGGGAGUAAAAAAACAAGCAACCACGAAAAGAAAAAGAAACCGACGCACCAAUAAUGAUAAUCUGGCCUUCUUCCUCUGUUCCUUUUACAGCUGCUUCCCCAUCCCCUACUCGGUUAAUGAUUUAACCUGCUUUUACUGUUCAUUCAGCUCUAGCUCCAGGACUUCAUAAUCAGUGACACUUUGAGGUCAGCUCAGAGCUCACAGAAGUGGCAGCUCCGAGGUUCUGCUGCGCUCGUGUGGAGGAGGAGGAGGAGGAGGAGGAGAGGAAGGUGUGAUGGUGGUGAUGGUGGUGGUGGCCAUCCUGGGCUGCAGCACCCCAUGGCACCCCAUAGCAUCCCAUAGCACCCUACAGCACCCCACAGCACUGUGUGCUCCCCCAGAGCCCCUUCCUCCUUUCACUGCUGUUCCCGUGGCACUGGGGGGCUUUGGGGGCUUUGGGCCCCUUUGCCCGUUCCUUCACCAACCAAAGAGGCCGAGCUGUGCCCUUCACACCCCAAACCCCCCCAGGAGCUGCUGCUGGGGAUGGGGGGGAAGGCGCCCAUAGGGCUGCACUGAGGGGCUGUGUGCUUCCAAGUGCUGGGGGGGGGGGGGCGUUGGGGGGCUGAGCAGGUGAUGGACAGAGCCCUCCCCCCUUUGCGUGUGCUGCUGGGGCCACAGCGAGUUGGGGGGGGUGGGCUGCAAUAGGGGGUGGGGGGCUGCAAUAUAUAGGGUGCAUCAUGGAGGGGUGACAGCGAUGCUGGAGCAGCAGCAGCAUCUCACACAGCCCCCCCCCCCCAACACCCCCCUUUUCCUUCCCAUCUCGUGCCAACGAGGCUCCAAACCCACACUGGGACCCCACACCUCCCCCCACCCAGGCUGGGUAUAACGGGGAGGGGGGGUAUUUGGGGAGGGGGGGGUGGGGGGUAGUUCUGCUCUCAGUGUAACCAUUGUAGCUUAGCUGCCUGUCUGUGUGUCCAUGAUGGUGUUUCUCGUGCGCUGACCGCUGGGUUUCACUGUUACCGUAAAAAAAAAAAGUGAAUUUGGAAAUAAAACAACAACAAAAAGAUUCA
Molecule: non-coding RNA, 3636 nt
Organism: Coturnix japonica (Japanese quail)
Lineage: Eukaryota; Metazoa; Chordata; Aves; Galliformes; Phasianidae
Source: RefSeq, a predicted model, not a curated record